AGAGUUUGAUCCUGGCUCAGGAUGAACGCUAGCGGCAGGCCUAAUACAUGCAAGUCGAGGGGUAAGGCUCACUUCGGUGAGUACACGACCGGCGCACGGGUGCGUAACGCGUAUGCAACCUACCUCUAACAGGGGGAUAGCCCCGAGAAAUCGGGAUUAAUACCUCAUAACAAUAUUUUGUCGCAUGGCAAGAUAUUUAAAGCUCCGGCGGUUAGAGAUGGGCAUGCGUGACAUUAGCUAGUUGGUGAGGUAACGGCUCACCAAGGCGACGAUGUCUAGGGGUUCUGAGAGGAUGAUCCCCCACACUGGUACUGAGACACGGACCAGACUCCUACGGGAGGCAGCAGUAAGGAAUAUUGCGCAAUGGAGGCAACUCUGACGCAGCCAUGCCGCGUGCAGGAAGACGGCCUUAUGGGUUGUAAACUGCUUUUAUAAAGGAAUAAACCCCCGAACGAGUUCGGGGUUGAAGGUACUUUAUGAAUAAGCACCGGCUAACUCCGUGCCAGCAGCCGCGGUAAUACGGAGGGUGCAAGCGUUAUCCGGAUUCAUUGGGUUUAAAGGGUGCGCAGGCGGAUGAUUAAGUCAGUGGUGAAAUCCCGGGGCUCAACCUCGGAACUGCCAUUGAUACUGGUCAUCUUGAAUUCGGUUGAAGUGGGCGGAAUGUAGCAUGUAGCGGUGAAAUGCAU
RNAcentral lists this ribosomal RNA (686 nucleotides) under uncultured bacterium. Its description in RNAcentral is "bacterial SSU rRNA". It matches the Rfam family "Bacterial small subunit ribosomal RNA", at positions 8 to 691 of the family's 1533-position model. The record is from RNAcentral.